ACGAAGGGUGCAAGCGUUGUUCGGAAUUACUGGGCGUAAAGCGCACGUAGGCGGCUUUGUAAGUUAGAGGUGAAAGCCCAGGGCUUAACCCUGGAAUUGCCUUUAAGACUGCAUCGCUAGAAUCGUGGAGAGGUGGGUGGAAUUCCUAGUGUAGAGGUGAAAUUCGUAGAUAUUAGGGAGAACACCGGUGGCGAAGGCGGCCCACUGGCUCGAUACUGACGCUGAGGUGCGAAAGCGUGGGGAGCAAACAGGA
Molecule: ribosomal RNA, 253 nt
Filed under: uncultured prokaryote
Description: partial 16S ribosomal RNA
Rfam family: Bacterial small subunit ribosomal RNA
Source: RNAcentral